UGAGCCGCGGACACAGAUGGCCAAGCCCUGUGCGCGUGCACGGCCUGUUGUGUGGGGCCCGGCUGCAUUCGAUCUCAGCGCCUCACUUUGUUUCUUGGUCACAUCGCAGCUGUGGUUUGCGUACGUGUCUCCGCGGGUCCAUGUGUUAAGGUGCUGCUUCGCUCAGGCCCAGGGCAUCGGGGCCAACUGAUCACGAGCUGAAACUUCCAAACUGGAUCGAACUCAGAACCUUGUGCUUGCCAGGCAGGUGUGGUGCCACCGAGCUACAUCCCUGGCCCGAAAAAGUAAUUCUUCCUAUCGGCCCGCAGUACUGUUACUUGCUUUGUGUCAGUGUGAACUGUGUCUGGGAUCACUUUCCAUCCUUUUGAAGAUGUUCUGGAGAUAUUUCCUGCAGGUUCUGAAGGAGGCCUUAGUCCAAGUGGAUCUCGGGUCACAGGCUUGUUGGAACCGAGCAGGAUGACCUAAACACUACGAGAGGCCCAUGAAACAGCUGCCCUUGCCUGGAGCCCCGCAGGAAGGCCUCGGCAGCACCUGCCCCACACCGCUGAGACCCCUGCUCUCGGGACCCACCCCACCCACCCACACAGCAGGCCCACAGUGGGUGUGGCCGGCCCUUGGUGAAUUAGUGCCUGAAAGAGAAAUCUGUCUGCUAUGCUGGGAUGUGUCAGAGAAGCUGUGCUCUCAGAAUAUGUACUUGGGAUUCAAAACUGGGUGGAAAUAGGAAAUUCUUUGUUCAGAACAAAAAUAGCACAAGUCAGCAGAAACAGAACUGGUGAAGCCGCCAGUUCCCGGGGCUCUGGAGGCCCCCAGGCAGCUGCCUUUGCUCAGCAGCCCGAUGGUGUGAGGGGCGUGGUGAAGGGAGUGCAGCAUGAGGGCCCCUCUUCCUGGCUCUGCCACCCAUGCACCAUGUGGCCUUUUCUUUGCUCCUUGGCUUCCUAAUUUUGCAAGGAGCUGGAUGGAAUAAAGGUACAAACCCCGAGCAACCGCCUUCAGUGAUUUCUAGACAAGGAAUCCCUUGCUCUCUAUCAAAGAAGAGUUUU
Molecule: long non-coding RNA, 1040 nt
Filed under: Heterocephalus glaber (naked mole-rat)
Lineage: Eukaryota; Metazoa; Chordata; Mammalia; Rodentia; Bathyergidae
Description: lncRNA (ENSHGLG00100033181.1)
Source: RNAcentral